UCCCCUUGAGGCGCGUCUCCUCCGCCUUGAGUUUCUCCUCCUCGCGCAUCUCGUGGUCCGACUCCAGGGCGUCGAAGACGGCGGCGCCCACCAGCAGCCCGUGUGCCUUCUGUGGGUUCUUGUCUUUGCGUUUCCGUGCUGGCCUGGGCCACGCACACAUGUGGAGACAACAAGCAUCCUUGUUCCGUUCCUGCCUUAGAGUGCUUACAACAUCUCAACACUGAGAAGAAUGUUUGCCGUCCAGCCUCGACCCGAAUGCAAACAGCUCAACGUGACGUCACGGGGCUCACUCCCUCGAUGGGCAGCCCCUCUCCCCGGAGCCGCUGUGCGGAAAGCGCCUGAUACUGCCCCUCGCUACCUGGUCAAUGAGCAGAGUCUAAGGGAACAGUGAGGGCGCGUGGCCAGCUUCCCGGGGGACAGUGGUCAGGCGCGUGGCCGGGAGGACAAGGAGGCGUGGGAGGGCAGGCGGGGCCCAGCGUUAGCUAGUGAGGACUUGCUAUCACGUGUGGGCACGUCAAGGGGAUGUAGGCCAACCACUAGCGCACAUGCCCACGAGGUAGUGCUCUUACUGCCAUCACGCAGAUGACAGCAAUGCGGCUUCCUGUCAGUGACGGUGUGAGGUCCCAGAGCCGGCCAGGGGCGGGGCUGGGCUUCCGCGCCUCAGGCACCUUCUGGAUCCCCGCUCUGCUGGGUGAAUUCUAGGCGACAGUGUGACGGCUGGGUGACUGCGGGC
Molecule: long non-coding RNA, 733 nt
Organism: Myotis myotis
Lineage: Eukaryota; Metazoa; Chordata; Mammalia; Chiroptera; Vespertilionidae
Exons: 3
Source: RefSeq, a predicted model, not a curated record